AGUGAACGCUGGCGGUAGGCCUAACACAUGCAAGUUGAACGGCAGCACAGUAAGAGCUUGCUCUUACGGGUGGCGAGUGGCGGACGGGUGAGGAAUACAUCGGAAUCUACUUUUUCGUGGGGGAUAACGUAGGGAAACUUACGCUAAUACCGCAUACGACCUACGGGUGAAAGCAGGGGAUCUUCGGACCUUGCGCGAUUGAAUGAGCCGAUGUCGGAUUAGCUAGUUGGCGGGGUAAAGGCCCACCAAGGCGACGAUCCGUAGCUGGUCUGAGAGGAUGAUCAGCCACACUGGAACUGAGACACGGUCCAGACUCCUACGGGAGGCAGCAGUGGGGAAUAUUGGAGAAUGGGCGCAAGCCUGAUCCAGCCAUACCGCGUGGGUGAAGAAGGCCUUCGGGUUGUAAAGCCCUUUUGUUGGGAAAGAAAAGCAGCAGGUUAAUACCCCGCUGUUCUGACGGUACCCAAAGAAUAAGCACCGGCUAACUUCGUG
RNAcentral lists this ribosomal RNA (492 nucleotides) under uncultured bacterium. Its description in RNAcentral is "partial 16S ribosomal RNA". It matches the Rfam family "Bacterial small subunit ribosomal RNA", at positions 29 to 507 of the family's 1533-position model. The record is from RNAcentral.